This 320-nucleotide ribosomal RNA is filed under the name uncultured bacterium. RNAcentral describes it as "bacterial SSU rRNA". It matches the Rfam family "Bacterial small subunit ribosomal RNA", at positions 470 to 789 of the family's 1533-position model. The record is from RNAcentral.
UGACGGUAUCUAACCAGCAAGUCACGGCUAACUACGUGCCAGCAGCCGCGGUAAUACGUAGGUGGCAAGCGUUAUCCGGAUUUAUUGGGCGUAAAGGGAACGCAGGCGGUUUUUUAAGUCUGAUGUGAAAGCCUUCGGCUUAACCGGAGAAUGGCAUUGGAAACUGGAAGACUUGAGUGCAGAAGAGGAGAGUGGAACUCCAUGUGUAGCGGUGAAAUGCGUAGAUAUAUGGAAGAACACCAGUGGCGAAAGCGGCUCUCUGGUCUGUAACUGACGCUGAGGUUCGAAAGCGUGGGUAGCAAACAGGAUUAGAUACCCUG